This 97-nucleotide signal recognition particle RNA is filed under the name Corynebacterium kalidii. RNAcentral's name for it is "signal recognition particle sRNA small type". It matches the Rfam family "Bacterial small signal recognition particle RNA". From Rfam's summary of the family: The signal recognition particle (SRP) is a universally conserved ribonucleoprotein involved in the co-translational targeting of proteins to membranes. Archaeal SRP consists of a 7S RNA and homologues of the eukaryotic SRP19 and SRP54 proteins. In most bacteria, the SRP consists of a 4.5S RNA and the Ffh protein (a homologue of the eukaryotic SRP54 protein). The record is from RNAcentral. Lineage: Bacteria; Bacillati; Actinomycetota; Actinomycetes; Mycobacteriales; Corynebacteriaceae.
GGCCGGACGCCGCGCGGCGUGUAUCUUGUGAACUCCCCCAGGGCAGGAAUGCAGCAAGGGUCAACGAGCUCUAGCGGGUGCGCGGUGUCCUUCAAUU